GGAGGGAUCAUUACCGAGUUUACAACUCCCAAACCCAAUGUGAACGUUACCAAACUGUUGCCUCGGCGGGAUCUCUGCCCCGGGUGCGUCGCAGCCCCGGACCAAGGCGCCCGCCGGAGGACCAACCAAAACUCUUAUUGUAUACCCCCUCGCGGGUUUUUUACUAUCUGAGCCAUCUCGGCGCCCCUCGUGGGCGUUUCGAAAAUGAAUCAAAACUUUCAACAACGGAUCUCUUGGUUCUGGCAUCGAUGAAGAACGCAGCGAAAUGCGAUAAGUAAUGUGAAUUGCAGAAUUCAGUGAAUCAUCGAAUCUUUGAACGCACAUUGCGCCCGCCAGUAUUCUGGCGGGCAUGCCUGUCCGAGCGUCAUUUCAACCCUCGAACCCCUCCGGGGGGUCGGCGUUGGGGAUCGGCCCUUUACGGGGCCGGCCCCGAAAUACAGUGGCGGUCUCGCCGCAGCCUCUCCUGCGCAGUAGUUUGCACACUCGCAUCGGGAGCGCGGCGCGUCCACAGCCGUUAAACACCCCAAACUUCUGAAAUGUUGACCUCGGAUCAGGUAGGAAUACCCGCUGAACUUAAGCAUAU
RNAcentral lists this ribosomal RNA (583 nucleotides) under Trichoderma virens. RNAcentral's name for it is "eukaryotic LSU rRNA". The stretch from base 214 to 367 matches the Rfam family "5.8S ribosomal RNA". The record is from RNAcentral. Lineage: Eukaryota; Fungi; Ascomycota; Sordariomycetes; Hypocreales; Hypocreaceae.